Molecule: non-coding RNA, 109 nt
Filed under: Clostridiales bacterium
Lineage: Bacteria; Bacillati; Bacillota; Clostridia; Eubacteriales
Description: TPP sequence
Rfam family: TPP riboswitch aptamer (THI element)
About the family: Vitamin B(1) in its active form thiamin pyrophosphate (TPP) is an essential coenzyme that is synthesised by coupling of pyrimidine and thiazole moieties in bacteria.
Source: RNAcentral
AUAUGAAAACAGGGGGGCCCGCUGAAGCGAGCUGAGAGUAGACUGUAAAUGUCUUGACCCAUAACCUGAUUUGGAUAAUGCCAACGUAGGAAGAUACAGAAGAUCAGAG